GAUUCUGUAAUUCAGUUGGUAGAAUGGUUGACUGUUAAUCAACGUGUCGCAGGUUCGAGUCCUGCCAGAAUCG
Molecule: transfer RNA, 73 nt
Filed under: Pectobacterium phage PcCB7V
Lineage: Duplodnaviria; Heunggongvirae; Uroviricota; Caudoviricetes
Rfam family: tRNA
About the family: Transfer RNA (tRNA) molecules are approximately 80 nucleotides in length. Their secondary structure includes four short double-helical elements and three loops (D, anti-codon, and T loops). Further hydrogen bonds mediate the characteristic L-shaped molecular structure. tRNAs have two regions of fundamental functional importance: the anti-codon, which is responsible for specific mRNA codon recognition, and the 3' end, to which the tRNAs corresponding amino acid is attached (by aminoacyl-tRNA synthetases). tRNAs cope with the degeneracy of the genetic code in two manners: having more than one tRNA (with a specific anti-codon) for a particular amino acid; and 'wobble' base-pairing, i.e. permitting non-standard base-pairing at the 3rd anti-codon position.
Source: Rfam by way of RNAcentral